RNAcentral lists this unclassified non-coding RNA (328 nucleotides) under uncultured fungus. RNAcentral describes it as "partial contains 5.8S ribosomal RNA, internal transcribed spacer 2, and large subunit ribosomal RNA". Lineage: Eukaryota; Fungi. The record is from RNAcentral.
AACGCAUCUUGCGCUCCUUGGCAUUCCGAGGAGCACGCCUGUUUGAGUGUCAUUAAAUUCCUCAAACCCUCCAAUCUUGCCCACCCAGGGCUGGAGUGGUUGGUUUGGAUCGUUGGAGGCUUCUGCAUGCAGGUUCGCCUGCUCCUCUGAAAUACAUUAGCAAUGGCUGUGGUGUUGCGUCGUUGGCAUGGUAAAAAUACUUGUUAUUUUGUGCCUCUUGACACAGGCAACCACCUCCCAUGCUUCUAAUCUGGCCAUCCGUUUUUUCGGUGGUGCCCUUGAUGACCAUUUUGACCUCAAAUCAGGUGGGACUACCCGCUGAACUUAA